Molecule: ribosomal RNA, 500 nt
Filed under: uncultured bacterium
Lineage: Bacteria
Description: partial 16S ribosomal RNA
Rfam family: Bacterial small subunit ribosomal RNA
Source: RNAcentral
AUUGAACGCUGGCGGCAUGCCUUACACGUGCAAGUCGAACGGCAGCACGGGAGCAAUCCUGGUGGCGAGUGGCGAACGGGUGAGUAAAGUAUCGGAACGUGCCCAGUCGUGGGGGAUAACGUAGCGAAAGUUACGCUAAUACCGCAUACGAUCUAUGGAUGAAAGCGGGGGAUCGCAAGACCUCGCGCGAUUGGAGCGGCCGAUAUCAGAUUAGGUAGUUGGUGGGGUAAAGGCUCACCAAGCCGACGAUCUGUAGCUGGUCUGAGAGGACGACCGGCCACACUGGGACUGAGACACGGCCCAGACUCCUACGGGAGGCAGCAGUGGGGAAUUUUGGACAAUGGGCGAAAGCCUGAUCCAGCCAUGCCGCGUGCAGAAUGAAGGCCUUCGGGUUGUAAACUGCUUUUGUACGGAACGAAAAGGUUUGGCCUAAUAAGCUGAGCUCAUGACGGUACCGUAAGAAUAAGCACCGGCUAACUACGUGCCAGCAGCCGCCGUAA